GAAAUGCGAUAAGUAAUGUGAAUUGCAGAAUUCAGUGAAUCAUCGAAUCUUUGAACGCACAUUGCGACCGCCAGUAUUCUGGCGGGCAUGCCUGUUCGAGCGUCAUCUCAACCAUCAAGCUUUGAGCUUGUGUUGGAGCCCUGCGGCUGUCCGCAGGCCCCUAAAUACAGUGGUGGGCUCGCUAUCACACCGAGUGCAGUAGUUUUCUUUCUCGCUCAGCGCGUGUAGUCGGUGCUAGCCGUGAAACCCGAUUUUCACAAGGUUGACCUCGGCUCAGGUAGGAAUACCCGCUGAACUCAA
RNAcentral lists this unclassified non-coding RNA (300 nucleotides) under uncultured Sordariales. RNAcentral describes it as "sequence contains ITS1". The stretch from base 1 to 105 matches the Rfam family "5.8S ribosomal RNA", at positions 50 to 154 of the family's 154-position model. Lineage: Eukaryota; Fungi; Ascomycota; Sordariomycetes; Sordariales. The record is from RNAcentral.